Molecule: long non-coding RNA, 846 nt
Organism: Triticum aestivum (bread wheat)
Lineage: Eukaryota; Viridiplantae; Streptophyta; Magnoliopsida; Poales; Poaceae
Exons: 3
Source: RefSeq, a predicted model, not a curated record
UGCGGGGCCGUCGAGAAUCCUCUGCAGGACGAGAGCGCGCCGCCAGUGACGGCCACCCACUCUAGGGACGAGACACGAGGGUGGCCGUACCAGAGCGGACGACGUGGAGAGAGGGCCCGAGGUAGGGGAGCGGGUCGGCGUCCCCGGGCUCAGCCGUCAACCCGCCACCGUCGCUUCCCACGAGGCGGCGGCCUGACUAUGAGGCACGGCGACGAGUGGAUUGUCGAUCGAGGCGCUCAUCGUCGUCGUCUCAGGACAGACUCCCGACGCCACCGCCGCGCGUGUGCUGCCUGAACGAGUUGAGAAGGAACCGCAUGUCCUGGGAUGUCGCCACGUCUAUUGGUCUUUGCUUUCUGUUCAACACCAAAGAAUCACGUCACUGUAUAUCAACGCAAUCUUGUGCAUGAAGCAGAAGUGACUUGCAGAUCAAAGAAACAAAAUACCAAUUAGUCACAGUGGUAUUAUUAAGCGCUUGAAAAGGAAGUAACAAAGGCUACCUGAAGAGCCUUGUAAUUGCCCUUAGCUGCAGCGCUGUGCACUGGUGUGAGACCUAGUUUGUUCCCCUGGAAAACUCUGGCACCAUUCUUCUGCAGGAGCCACAUAAUCCUGCACAAAGACAGAAGACAGUUAAGGACACUUGGAAAUAGCAAGAACAACGAUCUUACAGUUUAGCUGUUAAUGGAGCAGAAUUUGAAGAAGUGCUGUUAAUGGUACAGUUUAGCUGCACCUUGGCUCCUGUGUGCUUGAGCUACUACUGAGGCACCAGUGAAGUGCCGUGUUUCCUUCGGGGUCGGUUUCAUUGACAUCAACAUCCCCCAUCAGAAGCAUCUUUGUGACAUUCAUAUC